GAGGAAAAGAAACCAACAGGGAUUGCCUUAGUAACGGCGAGUGAAGCGGCAAAAGCUCAGAUUUGAAAUCUGGCGUCAUUUUGGCGUCCGAGUUGUAAUCUGUAGAGGAGUAUUCGAGUGUAGCUUUGGCUUAAGUUCCUUGGAACAGGGCGUCAUAGAGGGUGAGAACCCCGUUAACGGCCUUUGUCUUAUGCUCAUGUGAAUCUUCUUCAACGAGUCGAGUUGUUUGGGAAUGCAGCUCUAAAUGGGUGGUAAAUUCCAUCUAAAGCUAAAUACUGGCAAGAGACCGAUAGCGCACAAGUAGAGUGAUCGAAAGAUGAAAAGAACUCUGAACAGAGAGUUAAAUAGUACGUGAAAUUGUUGAAAGGGAAGCACUUGCGACCAGACGCACCUGCAGCCGAUCAACCUCCAUUCUUGGUGGUGCACUCGGUUGUAGGUGGGUCAGCAUCAGUUACAGCGGUGGGAAAAAGACUUGGGGAAUGUGGCUCUCUUCCGGGGGAGUGUUAUAGCCCUUGGUGUAAUGCUGCCAGCUGUGACUGAGGAACGCGCUUCGGCGAGGAUGCUGACAUAAUGGUCGUAAGUGACCCGUCUUGAAACACGGACCAAGGAGUCUAACAUCUAUGCGAGUGUUUGGGUGUUCAAACCCUUACGCGUAA
This 656-nucleotide ribosomal RNA is filed under the name Peziza coquandii. RNAcentral describes it as "partial large subunit ribosomal RNA". It matches the Rfam family "Eukaryotic large subunit ribosomal RNA", at positions 53 to 719 of the family's 3401-position model. Lineage: Eukaryota; Fungi; Ascomycota; Pezizomycetes; Pezizales; Pezizaceae. The record is from RNAcentral.